RNAcentral lists this long non-coding RNA (510 nucleotides) under Manacus vitellinus (golden-collared manakin). Its description in RNAcentral is "lncRNA (ENSMVIG00005014651.1)". The record is from RNAcentral. Lineage: Eukaryota; Metazoa; Chordata; Aves; Passeriformes; Pipridae.
UCUUUCUGUAGUGGCUGCAGGACAAAGGGCCAUUCAUCACGCUCCAAAGUGCUGCAAAAGGCUCCCGUGUUCCACCGGAGAAGUGCCUGCAUUUGAAUCCAAGCGAGAAAGUUUUCUCCCGGUGCUCCAGGCCGCUCCGGAGAGUAAUGGAGCUUGGCUGCUGCUUUAGGAUUCUUUUGGGUGAGAUAUGGGGGCAAGCACCUUGUCAUGCGCCGCUCAGGCUCCAGCAAAUCUGGGACAGAGAGGGGGUUGGAGAUAACCUUCAGGGAAGGCAGAGGGCAGGAUUGCACUGACCCCAAAGGAUGCUGGAUGUGGUCCCUGAAGCCGUGGCUGCCGCGAUGCCUCGUUGCUGCGGGGAGCAGAGCUGCUGCAGAAGGAAAGAGGUUUGGUUCUCUGCGCUCCUGUGUCCGGAAAGGGAGAGUGGAGAGCGCGGAGCCGAGUUGGAUCGGGCUCCCUCUACCCCAACAGGGUGACCUGAUAAAUUGCCACCAGUCAGCUGAACCUCAGUAA